This 246-nucleotide unclassified non-coding RNA is filed under the name fungal sp. RNAcentral's name for it is "partial internal transcribed spacer region". The stretch from base 1 to 44 matches the Rfam family "Eukaryotic small subunit ribosomal RNA", at positions 1788 to 1831 of the family's 1831-position model. The record is from RNAcentral. Lineage: Eukaryota; Fungi.
GUCGUAACAAGGUUUCCGUAGGUGAACCUGCGGAAGGAUCAUUACCACACCAAAAAACAACCCACGUGAAUGUACUCUGUAUUAGGCUUUGGCCGCACCAUCGUGAUGGUGAGUGGCUAGCCGAAGGCUUCGCAAGAAGCCGAUGAAAUUUGAAUCCUUUUGAACCAACGACUGAUCAAAACUGCAGGCAGAAAUGCGUGCAUCGAAUUGAAAUACAACUUUCAGCAGUGGAUGUCUAGGCUCGCA